AUGGGUGGGGUAGGCAGGAUGGACCGGGACGGGGAUACUGCUGAGGCUGCUGAUGAGAACGCUGGUGGUGGUGGUGACCAAGGCACGGGGGCUGAUGGUGUUCACGGUGGAGCAGACUGCCAAGGUCUUGGUGACCUCCGCCAUGGAGCAGCAGUGCAGCCUAUGAAUGUGUGCAGCUCCAUGAGCAUGGCCUUUUCGUACUCCGCGCUCACCGCCUUAAUCGCAGCCUGCCACAUGGUUGACGAUGCACUCUUCCCUAUCUGCCUUCGGUUCAGUCUCAUUGUGAUGUAUGCUGCCACAGGCACCAGGUGA
This 312-nucleotide ribosomal RNA is filed under the name Triticum aestivum (bread wheat). Its description in RNAcentral is "partial small subunit ribosomal RNA". The record is from RNAcentral. Lineage: Eukaryota; Viridiplantae; Streptophyta; Magnoliopsida; Poales; Poaceae.